This 353-nucleotide long non-coding RNA is filed under the name Rattus norvegicus (Norway rat). Its description in RNAcentral is "long non-coding RNA NONRATT003632". The record is from RNAcentral. Lineage: Eukaryota; Metazoa; Chordata; Mammalia; Rodentia; Muridae.
UAGGUUCCGAAGAAAGGGAGCUACCAGAAACUCAGCAAGCAGGCAUCCCAGACACGUGUCAGCCUGAGUCGUUAAAUGAUGUCAAAGUUCAUUCUGCAGAGAGAAUGUCUUCCAACCACAAGAACACAUCUCUUGAAAACCCUGUACAAGACCAGAGUUGGAUGGUCUUGAGCCAUAGUGAGGUUGGUGAUCCACCUGCAGAAACCAGGGACUCGGGAGCUGGGUCUCCGGGUAGAACUGUGGAGCCAUUCUUGAGUCUCAGUUUGGACAAGGGCCCCCAGUCCCAGGUUCUGGAAAGAAAAAAGCCUCUAGAUUCUUUGGCACUAGGGGAAGUUGCUGCUUUGAGCAGCCAA